CUUGUAUAAGCUUUUGUUUUGAAAACUUAAGAAAGAAUAUUUAUUCUAUUAAUUU
This 55-nucleotide transfer RNA is filed under the name Scirpophaga incertulas. Its description in RNAcentral is "tRNA-Ser". The record is from RNAcentral. Lineage: Eukaryota; Metazoa; Arthropoda; Insecta; Lepidoptera; Crambidae.